Molecule: ribosomal RNA, 1762 nt
Filed under: Staphylococcus ureilyticus
Lineage: Bacteria; Bacillati; Bacillota; Bacilli; Caryophanales; Staphylococcaceae
Description: partial 23S ribosomal RNA
Rfam family: Bacterial large subunit ribosomal RNA
Source: RNAcentral
ACUGCGCCGAAAAUGUACCGGGGCUAAACAUAUUACCGAAGCUGUGGAUUGUCCGUAGGACAAUGGUAGGAGAGCGUUCUAAGGGCGUUGAAGCAUGAUCGCAAGGACAUGUGGAGCGCUUAGAAGUGAGAAUGCCGGUGUGAGUAGCGAAAGACGGGUGAGAAUCCCGUCCACCGAUUGACUAAGGUUUCCAGAGGAAGGCUCGUCCGCUCUGGGUUAGUCGGGUCCUAAGCUGAGGCCGAUAGGCGUAGGCGAUGGAUAACAGGUUGAUAUUCCUGUACCACCAUGAAUCGUUUUAAGCGAUGGGGGGACGCAGUAGGAUAGGCGAAGCGUACGAUUGGAUUGUACGUCCAAGCAGUAAGACUGAGUGUUAGGCAAAUCCGGCACUCAUAAGGUCAAGCUGUGAUGGGGAGAGGAAAUUGUUUCCUCGAGUCGUUGAUUUCACACUGCCGAGAAAAGCCUCUAGCUAGAUUUAUGGUGCCCGUACCGCAAACCGACACAGGUAGUCAAGAUGAGAAUUCUAAGGUGAGCGAGCGAACUCUCGUUAAGGAACUCGGCAAAAUGACCCCGUAACUUCGGGAGAAGGGGUGCUCUUUAGGGUUCACGCCCAGGAGAGCCGCAGUGAAUAGGCCCAAGCGACUGUUUAUCAAAAACACAGGUCUCUGCUAAACCGUAAGGUGAUGUAUAGGGGCUGACGCCUGCCCGGUGCUGGAAGGUUAAGAGGAGUGGUUAGCUUCUGCGAAGCUACGAAUCGAAGCCCCAGUAAACGGCGGCCGUAACUAUAACGGUCCUAAGGUAGCGAAAUUCCUUGUCGGGUAAGUUCCGACCCGCACGAAAGGCGUAACGAUUUGGGCACUGUCUCAACGAGAGACUCGGUGAAAUCAUAGUACCUGUGAAGAUGCAGGUUACCCGCGACAGGACGGAAAGACCCCGUGGAGCUUUACUGUAGUCUGAUAUUGAAAUUCGGUACAGCUUGUACAGGAUAGGUAGGAGCCUUAGAUACGUGAGCGCUAGCUUACGUGGAGGCGUUGGUGGGAUACUACCCUCGCUGUAUUGGAUUUCUAACCCGCACCAUUAAUCAUGGUGGGAGACAGUGUCAGAUGGACAGUUUGACUGGGGCGGUCGCCUCCUAAAGAGUAACGGAGGCGCUCAAAGGUUUCCUCAGAAUGGUUGGAAAUCAUUCAUAGAGUGUAAAGGCACAAGGAAGCUUGACUGCGAGACUUACAAGUCGAGCAGGGUCGAAAGACGGACUUAGUGAUCCGGUGGUUCCGCAUGGAAGGGCCAUCGCUCAACGGAUAAAAGCUACCCCGGGGAUAACAGGCUUAUCUCCCCCAAGAGUUCACAUCGACGGGGAGGUUUGGCACCUCGAUGUCGGCUCAUCGCAUCCUGGGGCUGUAGUCGGUCCCAAGGGUUGGGCUGUUCGCCCAUUAAAGCGGUACGCGAGCUGGGUUCAGAACGUCGUGAGACAGUUCGGUCCCUAUCCGUCGUGGGCGUAGGAAAUUUGAGAGGAGCUGUCCUUAGUACGAGAGGACCGGGAUGGACAUACCUCUGGUGUACCAGUUGUCGUGCCAACGGCAUCGCUGGGUAGCUAUGUAUGGACGGGAUAAGUGCUGAAAGCAUCUAAGCAUGAAGCCCCCCUCAAGAUGAGAUUUCCCAACUUCGGUUAUAAGAUCCCUCAAAGAUGAUGAGGUUAAUAGGUUCGAGGUGGAAGCAUAGCGAUAUGUGGAGCUGACGAAUACUAAUCGAUCGAAGACUUAAUCAA